GGAUUGUAGUCUGCAACCCGACUACAUGAAGCUGGAAUCGCUAGUAAUCGCGGAUCAGAAUGCCGCGGUGAAUACGUUCCCGGGUCUUGUACACACCGCCCGUCACACCAUGGGAGUCGGAAAUGCCCGAAGCCGGUGACUCAACCUUUAAGGAGAGAGCCGUCGAAGGCAGGUCUGAUAACUGGGGUGAAGUCGUAACAAGGUAGC
This 207-nucleotide ribosomal RNA is filed under the name uncultured bacterium. RNAcentral's name for it is "partial 16S ribosomal RNA". It matches the Rfam family "Bacterial small subunit ribosomal RNA", at positions 1295 to 1500 of the family's 1533-position model. The record is from RNAcentral.